GACGAACGCUGGCGGCGUGCCUAAUACAUGCAAGUCGAACGAACCGACGGAGAACUUGUUCUCUUGACGUGAGUGGCGGACGGGUGAGUAACACGUGGGAAACCUACCCUUCAGCGGGGGAUAACGGUUCGAAAGAAUCGCUAAUACCGCAUAAGAGGAUCAGUCGCCUGACUGAUUCGUAAAAGAUGGCUCUGCUAUCACUGAAGGAUGGGCCCGCGGCGUAUUAGCUAGUUGGUAAGGUAACGGCUUACCAAGGCAACGAUACGUAGCCGACCUGAGAGGGUGAUCGGCCACACUGGAACUGAGACACGGUCCAGACUCCUACGGGAGGCAGCAGUAGGGAAUCUUCCGCAAUGGGCGAAAGCCUGACGGAGCAACGCCGCGUGAGUGAUGAAGGUCUUCGGAUCGUAAAACUCUGUUAUUAGGGAAGAACAAACGUGUAAGUAACUGUGCACGUCUUGACGGUACCUAAUCAGAAAGCCACGGCUAACUACGUGCCAGCAGCCGCGGUAAUACGUAGGUGGCAAGCGUUAUCCGGAAUUAUUGGGCGUAAAGCGCGCGUAGGCGGUUUUUUAAGUCUGAUGUGAAAGCCCACGGCUCAACCGUGGAGGGUCAUUGGAAACUGGAAAACUUGAGUGCAGAAGAGGAAAGUGGAAUUCCAUGUGUAGCGGUGAAAUGCGCAGAGAUAUGGAGGAACACCAGUGGCGAAGGCGACUUUCUGGUCUGUAACUGACGCUGAUGUGCGAAAGCGUGGGGAUCAAACAGGAUUAGAUACCCUGGUAGUCCACGCCGUAAACGAUGAGUGCUAAGUGUUAGGGGGUUUCCGCCCCUUAGUGCUGCAGCUAACGCAUUAAGCACUCCGCCUGGGGAGUACGACCGCAAGGUUGAAACUCAAAGGAAUUGACGGGGACCCGCACAAGCGGUGGAGCAUGUGGUUUAAUUCGAAGCAACGCGAAGAACCUUACCAAAUCUUGACAUCCUUUGACCCUUCUAGAGAUAGAAGUUUCCCCUUCGGGGGACAAAGUGACAGGUGGUGCAUGGUUGUCGUCAGCUCGUGUCGUGAGAUGUUGGGUUAAGUCCCGCAACGAGCGCAACCCUUAAGCUUAGUUGCCAUCAUUAAGUUGGGCACUCUAAGUUGACUGCCGGUGACAAACCGGAGGAAGGUGGGGAUGACGUCAAAUCAUCAUGCCCCUUAUGAUUUGGGCUACACACGUGCUACAAUGGACAAUACAAAGGGCAGCGAAACCGCGAGGUCAAGCAAAUCCCAUAAAGUUGUUCUCAGUUCGGAUUGUAGUCUGCAACUCGACUACAUGAAGCUGGAAUCGCUAGUAAUCGUAAAUCAGCAUGCUACGGUGAAUACGUUCCCGGGUC
Molecule: ribosomal RNA, 1371 nt
Filed under: uncultured bacterium
Lineage: Bacteria
Description: bacterial SSU rRNA
Rfam family: Bacterial small subunit ribosomal RNA
Source: RNAcentral